RNAcentral lists this transfer-messenger RNA (359 nucleotides) under Kofleriaceae. RNAcentral's name for it is "JABFXX01 sp013696695 Standard tmRNA". It matches the Rfam family "transfer-messenger RNA". Rfam says of the family: Bacterial tmRNA, also known as 10Sa RNA or SsrA, is named for its dual tRNA and mRNA-like properties. RNAcentral also lists the same sequence under 2 other names. The record is from RNAcentral. Lineage: Bacteria; Pseudomonadati; Myxococcota; Haliangiales.
GGGGGCGUACCGGCUUCGACGUGGAUGAAUACGUUCGAUCGGCGCGUCGUGGCGCCCAUGGCCACGUAAAAAUGGGCAAACCUGCAACUGCGAACGACAACGACGCCGUUGCUCUCGCUGCCUAAUAAAACUAGGUAGCGACGGUGCUCGAAGUUUCCGUCUGUAGCUUCGAGACACCGCCACAAUCAGGCUGGACCUCCGGAUCCGUCAGCGCAUGGAGGUCGAGAAACAGCUGGCUUGUUGUUCCCGUAGGUCGGCCGUCAUCGGCGGGGACGAGACUUCAAAUGGCGUGCCUACAUGCGUAGAAGAUCGAUCUGAAGCUUUCGCGGACGCGGGUUCGACUCCCGCCGCCUCCACCA